AUGAACGCUGGCGGUAUGCUUAACACAUGCAAGUCGAACGGAAACGAUACUAGCUUGCUAGUAGGCGUCGAGUGGCGGACGGGUGAGUAACGCGUAGGAAUCUGCCUGAUAGUGGGGGAUAGCCCGGAGAAAUUCGGAUUAAUACCGCAUAAUCUAUUCGUAGUAAAGUGGGGGACUUUCGAGCCUCACGCUAUCAGAUGAGCCUGCGUAAGAUUAGCUUGUUGGUAGGGUAAAAGCCUACCAAGGCGACGAUCUUUAGCUGGUCUGAGAGGAUGAU
This 277-nucleotide ribosomal RNA is filed under the name uncultured Gammaproteobacteria bacterium. Its description in RNAcentral is "partial 16S ribosomal RNA". It matches the Rfam family "Bacterial small subunit ribosomal RNA", at positions 29 to 304 of the family's 1533-position model. The record is from RNAcentral. Lineage: Bacteria; Pseudomonadati; Pseudomonadota; Gammaproteobacteria.